RNAcentral lists this long non-coding RNA (504 nucleotides) under Aotus nancymaae (Ma's night monkey). Its description in RNAcentral is "lncRNA (ENSANAG00000038758.1)". The record is from RNAcentral. Lineage: Eukaryota; Metazoa; Chordata; Mammalia; Primates; Aotidae.
CUCAGUUAAAGUGAACAAGCAUAAAUUUGUGGCAGACUCAAUCAGUGCAGCUUUCUCUAGCAGCACUCUUCAGCCUAGCUAGGAAAUAUUUAGAAGUUCAAGGUCCAUGGGAAAUUUUAGGCAAUAAGUGAAGGCACUGCUGAGUCGGCUGACCAUGAAAACAAGCUAGACGGAAGAAAUAAAAUUGGAAGUUAACAGACAAGAAGAAAAAGAGCAGAGUCAGGGUUGUGAUGAGAAGAAAGACCAGGAUUAGUAUGAGAAAGAAAUGUAGAAUAGCUGACAUUAGAGAGAUUGUGGAAGAGGCAAGAUACUCAAAACUGGAGAUUCAUAGAUGAUGAGAUCCAAGGAUGGAGAGGAGUUGGGGAUCACUGGUGUCAAGGAGAGCCAUCACAGAACACUGUUUGACUUCUCCCAGCCUUUGAAAUCUUACUGUCUACAAGGAAUCUUACAAUACAAGGCUUCCUUACUCUGUGCCUGAACUCAGCACCCAAUCUAUGUAGCCCA